CUCCUUUUGAGCAUGACGUUAUUCGUUCCUGUCGGGCGUCCUCACAAAUUACCUGCAUUCAGAGAUUCAUACCGGCACAGGUCGGUAUGCGAAGUCCCUUUUGGGGCCUUAGCUCAGCUGGGAGAGCACCUGCUUUGCAAGCAGGGGGUCGUCGGUUCGAUCCCGACAGGCUCCACCAUAUUGAGUGAAAAGACUUCGGGUCUGUAGCUCAGGUGGUUAGAGCGCACCCCUGAUAAGGGUGAGGUCGGUAGUUCGAGUCUACCCAGACCCACCACUCUGAAUGUAGUGCACACUUAAGAAUUUAUAUGGAUCAGCGUUGAGGCUGAGACAUGUUCUUUUAUAACUUGUGACGUAGCGAGCGUUUGAGAUAUCUAUCUAAACGUGUCGUUGAGGCUAAGGCGGGGACUUCGAGUCCCUAAAUAAUUGAGUCGUAUGUUCGCGUUGGUGGCUUUGUACCCCACACAACACGGCAUGUAGCUCCGAGGCAACUUGGGGUUAUAUGGUCAAGCGAAUAAGCGCACACGGUGG
RNAcentral lists this transfer RNA (528 nucleotides) under Xanthomonas campestris pv. campestris. Its description in RNAcentral is "partial contains 16S ribosomal RNA, 16S-23S ribosomal RNA intergenic spacer, and 23S ribosomal RNA". The stretch from base 198 to 271 matches the Rfam family "tRNA". The record is from RNAcentral. Lineage: Bacteria; Pseudomonadati; Pseudomonadota; Gammaproteobacteria; Lysobacterales; Lysobacteraceae.